UUGAAGUAAGCAAUCUGCUUGUUUAUCCCUGUUUCCAUUAAUUAAAUAUGUGCAAGCUAAAUUUCCUACUGAAAAACAUGAGAUGACAUGCAUGGGGCCAAAGCUACGUUCUCUCUCAGGAGGCUGAGCUGCCAGCCUUGGGGAGGUCUCCAGAGCAGGACCAGACCCAUAUCUGCAGCCCUCCCAGCUUGUCCUCUGGGCUUGCUGCAGGAGGAUGGACUGGAAAGCAAAUGUAUGUGAAGCUGUGAUGUUGUUCCUGGGCAAUGUGAAAGGGUGCUUCAGCAGUUCCAUCCUCUGAGCUCACAGCUGCCCUGUUGUGGCUCCUGGGUGCUCUUCUAUAGACAGAUUUCAUUUUUCUUGUUUCUCUCAUUGCUGUCCCAGUGGCUUGAAUCUUCACUUUUGUAAAUGCCAGAGGUGCAGCUGCUAACAGAACAGUUACUCCUGCCCUACAGCAGCACAGUAGGGCCCAGAAGUGCUGUUAUUUGCUGAAGCAUCUCUCUGAUCCCCAAAGGCAAAUUCAUUUGGACGAGGCCUGGCUCUGCAAUGACCACAUACUGGAAGUGGACAGGUGAUCAGCUGUUGGGCUUAGCCAACAAUCUGCCAAGAAUGAAAACUUCUUAGGAGUAAAAUGGAAGAGAUCUUCAUGUUGCAUGCAAAAGCGAACUGUUUUCAGCCUGUCCAAAAAUGAGAAGAAAGGAGAGGGAAUAGGCUGUGCUGUAGGUGUGCAGAAUAGCUGGUAAGUGGAGAAACUCAUAAGGGAGCUGAUCAGUGAAAGUUGAGCUCUGGUCAAAGUCUUGGGGCAAUUGUAAGUAAAACCUUUAGAAUCAGAAGAGACCUGUGCUGAUUUUUGAAGCUCUUCUGUUGCAGCCAGGCUGAACAAAGAACUCCAAGGGCAGCAGUCCACAAGGGACAUAAAGAAAAUGCAGGUUCCCUUAAAAAGGAGCAGCUACUUUGAUUAGUUUGAAGCAGAAUAAAAGACCUAUAAAUGGGGAGAAUCCUGAAGAUGUCCUGGGAGAGGGGAAUUCGUGCCCUUAGAAUAGCUGCACGGAUGAAACAGAGGAUGAAAAAGCUUGAACACAAAUGUCUUGAUAAUAAACACAAAUGUGUUUAUUGCCAUGUAUUAAAGGUAAGAAUGGAAAAAUGACUUUGGCAUGUUUUUGCUUUGUUUGCUGCUACUCCCCUGCAUGGCAGGCUAGCCCUGUGCUCCAGCUUCA
Non-coding RNA from Phasianus colchicus (ring-necked pheasant), 1214 nucleotides. The record is from RefSeq and is a predicted model, not a curated record. Lineage: Eukaryota; Metazoa; Chordata; Aves; Galliformes; Phasianidae.